GAUGAACGCUAGCUACAGGCUUAACACAUGCAAGUCGCGGGGCAGCAUGGGGGUUGCUUGCAACCCCUGAUGGCGACCGGCGCACGGGUGAGUAACGCGUAUCCAACCUGCCCUUCACCACGGGAUAACCCGGCGAAAGUCGGACUAAUACCGUAUGUUGUCCAUUGACGGCAUCCGAUUGGGACGAAAGGCUUGGCGGUGGAAGGAUGGGGAUGCGUCCGAUUAGCUUGACGGCGGGGUAACGGCCCACCGUGGCUACGAUCGGGAGGGGUUCUGAGAGGAAGGUCCCCCACACUGGAACUGAGACACGGUCCAGACUCCUACGGGAGGCAGCAGUGAGGAAUAUUGGUCAAUGGGCGUAAGCCUGAACCAGCCAAGUAGCGUGCAGGAUGACGGCCCUAUGGGUUGUAAACUGCUUUUAUGCGGGGAUAAAGUGGCCCACGUGUGGGCUUUUGCAGGUACCGCAUGAAUAAGGACCGGCUAAUUCCGUG
This 491-nucleotide ribosomal RNA is filed under the name uncultured bacterium. RNAcentral's name for it is "partial 16S ribosomal RNA". It matches the Rfam family "Bacterial small subunit ribosomal RNA", at positions 28 to 507 of the family's 1533-position model. The record is from RNAcentral.